This is a long non-coding RNA of Gorilla gorilla gorilla (western lowland gorilla), 4056 nucleotides long. RefSeq lists it as uncharacterized. The transcript is spliced from 7 exons. The record is from RefSeq and is a predicted model, not a curated record. NCBI's taxonomy places the organism in Eukaryota, Metazoa, Chordata, Mammalia, Primates, Hominidae.
AGUAGGUGGGGUGACAGAAUGGGAUUUACGGACACAGAACUGUCCUUUGGGGAGCAGAAUGGUAUUGGGGACAGGUAGGCACGUAGCGGGGGGCAAAAGCACACGUGAGGUGCGUAAUGCGCGACAGCCAAGAGGUGUGUGCGGCAGCAGUGCACGAGGGGAGGAAGCUAUCCCAGGCCGCGGCAGCACAUGGAACUUGGGUCCCGCAGUCGCAGGCUGCGCUCUAGGCCGACGGAAGCAGUUCCGCCUGUAUUCAGAAAACAGUUCUCAGCCCCAAAGAUACAGGUUGGAAAGAACACUUUAAAAACACUUCGGCGAGGCACGGGAUUGGAGCGCAUCAGAUCAGCAGGCGAGAGACCACCGCUCUCGCCCGCGCGCCGCGCGGCGUCCGAGGCGCAGCUUUGUGCGCGGUGAGACCCUGGGGCAGGCGCUGGACGGGGUGGGGACAUCUGACGUCAGCGCGCCCGGGAGCGCGGGCCGGGGAGGCGGGGAGCCCCCCCACUCGCAGGCCGGAGAAAACACGAGUAGCUAGGUGGGCGGCCCCAAACCUCAACUCCCGGCAUUGCCAAGCAACAGCCAUUCAGUUCGGUUGCUGGGACACGCGUCACCAUGGCGACGGCUCCGCGCCGCGCAGUCUGAGUACUUAAAGAGCAAGCGCGCGCAACGCCCGGGCGACGGAAAGCGGCCUUCCGGGACUCCGCAAACUCCCGUUCUCCCUCCCCCCUCCCCCUUACCAUUCCCUUUGCCUUCCGGGCGCCAAGUCUCUCUGGCCUCCAAGGUGAACCCAACUCCCCAGCGCGCCCCGGGUUCCCGGGUCGGGCCGGCUUCAGGCGGUGGGGAGCGGGAUCCCGGGCCCCGGGCGGGCGGGAGGGACGGGACGCGGUGCAGUGUUGUUUUUUCCCCCGCCAAUAUUGCACUCGUCCCGGCCUCCGGCCCCCCCGGCCCCCCGGCCUCCCCGCUACCCCUAGCGGGGCAGCCCCCGCCCUCCUGGCUCUCCAUCCCGGCGGAUCUUUGAUAGACUGGAGUGUCGCCGCUGCCACCGUGAACAGGAAAAUGGGUCAUGGAGGAGGAGUGACUUCACCAACAUCACUCAUAGGUGCUUGUGUCCCUGGUGAGAAGGGUGAUGGAGAGAAGUGGCUGCAGUCCCCACCCAUGGAGAGGUCACUGGUGAAUCCCAGCUAAAGAGGAAGGACAGGCCCGGCCUGAGUCCCACAGGUGGGCUCAGCCCCUCUCCUUACCGAAUGUAGCCAACUUGAGGCCGGUGCAGAAGCUGCCAGCGAUAGGAGGUCUUGUCCCGCCAGCCCACAUUUCGUGGGUCUGUCCACAGCAGUCGUACCUGAUCGGGGGUGUGGCCAGUAUGCCACAGGGCAUUUCGGAGGUGCUCACCUGGGCCAGACACUGAUGUCACUGCCUAGGAGACAUUGGCAAAGACAGUGGGUCAACUGCAGAACUGGAGUGAGGGGAGACAACAGGUCGGUAAGUGCAGGUGGGAAAGGGAGUCAAGGCGGUCAUGAAAAUGCCCUGGGGCCCCAGAGAGCCGGCCUCCAAGCCAGAUGUCUGGGUAAGAGGGUUCCCAGUCAAGCAGUGGGGGAGGCCCUGGGGCUGCAGAGGAGAGCUUUGGGAAAGGGCCCUGGGUUGGGGAAUCUGAGCAGCUGGGGACCUUGAGCUGCAGCCCGGGCUGGGCAACCGCCCGGAAGGGUGUAGCCUGCCAGUAGGUCUGCUCGGUCUGCUUCCACAUGACUACGUAGAAGCGGCCACUGUCUUGAUAACUGAAGAGAAAGCCUGCGUAGUCAUCAUCAGUCACUGUGUUCACAUGGAAGGUGCCUUCAAAGUCCACACCAUUGAAGGCCGUGUAUCCUGGGGUGGGGGUGGGAUAAAGGUCAGGGGCAGCAAAGCUACUGGCAGCCCAUCAUGGGGUGAAGUUGGGAAGGGAUGCCUGCUAUGUAUGUGGCCAGCUUGUGCCACUGCCUUCUCUCUCGCCACUUUGCCCAUUCUCCCUGUCUGUUUCCUCCCCUACCCUCUGCCCCUAUAGGAUUCCUCCAUUUGGAAGUGAUUGAACUGCAUAUCCCUUACAUACCAACUGCCAAGCCAGGGUCACUGUUCAUGGUCUGAACGAUUUCCAUGCCCUGGGGUUGUAUAGUAAAGAAAAAGCUGUGAUGCAGGUGUGCUAUCGCUCCCAGGCCCCCCGCCCCAGUAGCCCUGUCUGAUAGCACCUGCCCAGCCCACUGCCCCGAGUUACCUGGUUGAGCACAACCCAGUUUGGGUCAAUCUGAGCAUCACCCUCAGGAUCCAGGACGACGGUCUGAUAGGCCCGAAAAUCCGUAAGCGUUACCUCUGCACUUUCAGGACACACAUCCAGGGGGUCGACCACAGCAUCAUUGUCAAAGUCAUCCUCACACACAUCACCAACACCAUUGCCUGGGCAGAGUGAGGCUGGGUGCUCAGGAAGGCCCCGGCCACUGCCAUUAGGCAACAAUACCAUCUGUUGGGCCUGCAUUCCUGACAUCUUUCCCCACCUUGCCCUUCCUCACUUCCCAACAGGGCUUGCUGCCUCCACCGGGGCAAAGGCAACACCAGUCUAACGUGCUCUGGGUCCCCAGGCUUACCAUCUGAGUCCUUCUGAUUGGGAUUGGGUACCAGGCGGCAGUUAUCAGGACCAGGAGGCACAUAAUCUGGGAUGCCAUCAUUGUCAUCAUCCCCAUCACACUCAUCUCCAAGUCCAUCGUUAUCAGAGUCCAGCUGGGAGCUAUUUGGCAGCUGUGGGCAGUUGUCCUUGGUGUCCUGAUGCCCAUCCCCAUCGCUAAUCAGAAGAACAGGUUGGUGAAAGUCCCGAACUUUGUCUCCCCACCCAGAGGACAACUGGCCAGGAAAUCUGCCUGUUUCUUGUCUCACCCUCUAGUCCACACUCUGCCUAACGCUACGCCCUACCUCACAUUCCUAUUGACAUCUGCUGCAGAUCACACCCUUGUGAUGGACAAACUGCUCAGUACAGUCCCACCCACCCAGCCUCCUUGUCCUGGGCACGAGGUUUUUGCCUCCCUGAUUUGGAGUAUUGGGCCCUUACUAGAGAGCUGCCAGAUGAGGGUGGAUAACAGCCUCAGUUUUCAGAUGAGGAAGCUGAGGCUCAGAAAAGUUAAAUAACCUGCCAAAGAGCUAGCAAGAGGCAAACCAGUAUUCCAAACCAAGUCCAUGUGAACACCUAAUCUGUGUAGCGCCCUGGGGAGGAGGAAAGGCAGCAGGAAAUUUGAAGGGACAUCUCCUUCACCUGGAGAAGGAUGGGGAGGAGUCAGCACUUGACAUCUGCACCCUACCCCAGAAUCAGUGCCACCCUUCGCCAGCCCACCCAAACCUGGUCUCGUAUAUCAUCCCGCAGCUCCACCAGGAUCUGGUUGAAGAGGGUGAGAGCUUCUGAACAUCCCUGUCAGAGAGACCAGGCAGAUGGGCAACGCUCAGAGAAAUUGCUGGUGACAGCUGCCAGUGAGAACUAUAAAAGACUCGAGACCAGGCCGGGCGCGGUGGCUUACGCCUGUAAUCCCAGCACUUUGAGAGGCCGAGGUGGGUGCAUCACUUGAGAUUAGGUGUUUGAGACCAGCCUGGCCAACGUGGUGAAACCCCAUCUCUACUAAAAAUGCAAAAAUUAGCCAGGCAUGGUGGAGGGCGCCUGUAAUCCCAGCUACUUGGGAGGCUGAGGCAGGAGAAUCACUUGAACCCAGGAGGUGGAGACUGCAGUGACCCAGAUUGCACCACUGCACGCCGGCCUGGGCAACAGGACAAGACUCCAUCACCAAAAAAAAAAAAUACUCGAGACCAGUAUCUCUUGGUCAGCCAAGGCCAAGCAAUUAACCAAUUAUCUUAGAUCGCUUUUUUUCUGGGAUGGGUGUAUUGGAGAUUGUGGAGUCAGGUGAAAGAUUUGGAAUAACAGGGUUAGAAACCCUAGGAACAGGUGAGCCAAAGGAAUGGGUUUUAAGGGAGAGGGAGAUCAAGAAGACAGGAGUCACCAAAGGCCACAGGAUCCGUGGUCCAAUGUCAGCAAACAAGUCUCUGUGUUACCUGCAC